AAUGAUGAGGAGGGAGCGAAUGAAACGGUUUGUCAUUCUCAAUAAUGCAAAUGAAUUUGGUUUUGUAACAUAUAUUCUAGGAUAUUAGGAAACUAAAUAUAAAUAACUAGCAGGAAAGAAGCUAUCCUCGACCUCUUCUUAAAAGAGGAAGAGACGGAAUACUUAGAAGUGAAGGAAAAUUAAAACAA
Molecule: small RNA, 188 nt
Filed under: Arabidopsis thaliana (thale cress)
Lineage: Eukaryota; Viridiplantae; Streptophyta; Magnoliopsida; Brassicales; Brassicaceae
Description: ATSL083540
Source: RNAcentral